GGUGAGCUCUCGCUGGCCAUGGCCCAGUGCAGGCAGAGGAAGCCAGAGAUGGGUUAGGCGGCCUGUAAAAGAGAUUACGAU
RNAcentral lists this non-coding RNA (81 nucleotides) under Daubentonia madagascariensis (aye-aye). The record is from RNAcentral. Lineage: Eukaryota; Metazoa; Chordata; Mammalia; Primates; Daubentoniidae.